CCUGAUGCAGCCAUGCCGCGUGUGUGAAGAAGGCCUUCGGGUUGUAAAGCACUUUCAGUAGUGAGGAGGUAGUGUAGUUAAUAGCUGCAUUAUUUGACGUUAGGACGGAAGAAGCACCGGCUAACUCCGUGCCAGCAGCCGCGGUAAUACGGAGGGUGCGAGCGUUAAUCGGAAUUAUCUUGGCGUAAAGCGCAUGCAGGUGGUUUGUUAAGUCAGAUGUGAAAGCCCGGGGCUCAACCUCGGAAUAGCAUUUGAAACUGGCAGACUAGAGUACUGUAGAGGGGGGUAGAAUUUCAGGUGUAGCGGUGAAAUGCGUAGAGAUCUGAAGGAAUACCGGUGGCGAAGGCGGCCCCCUGGACAGAUACUGACACUCAGAUGCGAAAGCGUGGGGAGCAAACAGGAUUAGAUACCCUGGUAGUCCACGCCGUACGAUGUCUACUUGGAGGUUGUGGCCUUGAGCCGUGGCUUUCGGAGCUAACGCGUUAAGUAGACCGCCUGGGGAGUACGGUCGCAAGAUUAAAACUCAAAUGAAUUGACGGGGGCCCGCACAAGCGGUGGAGCAUGUGGUUUAAUUCGAUGCAACGCGAAGAACCUUACCUACUCUUGACAUCCAGAGAACUUUCCAGAGAUGGAUUGGUGCCUUCGGGAACUCUGAGACAGGUGCUGCAUGGCUGUCGUCAGCUCGUGUUGUGAAAUGUUGGGUUAAGUCCCGCAACGAGCGCAACCCUUAUCCUUGUUUGCCAGCGAGUAAUGU
RNAcentral lists this ribosomal RNA (754 nucleotides) under Vibrio sp. 64BHI7. RNAcentral describes it as "bacterial SSU rRNA". It matches the Rfam family "Bacterial small subunit ribosomal RNA", at positions 382 to 1131 of the family's 1533-position model. Lineage: Bacteria; Pseudomonadati; Pseudomonadota; Gammaproteobacteria; Vibrionales; Vibrionaceae. The record is from RNAcentral.